ACGGAAGGCAGCAGUGGGGAAUAUUGCACAAUGGGGGAAACCCUGAUGCAGCGACGCCGCGUGAAGGAUGAAGUAUCUCGGUAUGUAAACUUCUAUCAGCAGGGAAGAUAAUGACGGUACCUGACUAAGAAGCCCCGGCUAACUACGUGCCAGCAGCCGCGGUAAUACGUAGGGGGCAAGCGUUAUCCGGAUUUACUGGGUGUAAAGGGAGCGUAGACGGCAAGGUAAGUCUGAAGUGAAAUGCCGGGGCUCAACCCCGGAACUGCUUUGGAAACUAUCUCGCUCGAGUACCGGAGGGGUAAGCGGAAUUCCUAGUGUAGCGGUGAAAUGCGUAGAUAUUAGGAGGAACACCAGUGGCGAAGGCGGCUUACUGGACGGUAACUGACGUUGAGGCUCGAAAGCGUGGGGAGCAAACAGGAUUAGAUACCCUGGUA
Molecule: ribosomal RNA, 434 nt
Filed under: uncultured Blautia sp.
Lineage: Bacteria; Bacillati; Bacillota; Clostridia; Lachnospirales; Lachnospiraceae
Description: partial 16S ribosomal RNA
Rfam family: Bacterial small subunit ribosomal RNA
Source: RNAcentral